GACGAACGCUGGCGGCGUGCUUAACACAUGCAAGUCGAACGGUGAAGCGCCUUCCUUUUUGGUGGGUGUGGAGGAGUGGCGAACGGGUGAGUAACACGAUAGUAACCUGCUCCCUUCUGCUGGAUAACCGCAUGAAAGUGUUGCUAAUACGGGAUAUUCUGAGUCUGUCGGAUGAUGGGUCUGGGACAGUUAUUGUUUCGGUUGGGGAUGGGCUCGCGGCGUAUCAGCUUGUUGGUGAGGUGAUGGCCUACCAAGGCGGUGAAGAGUAGCCGGCCUGAGAGGGUGGGCGGUCACAGAGGGAAGGAGAGGCGGAGAAGACUCCGAGAGGCGGCAGCAGGGGAGAAUACUGCACGAGCGGAGGACGGAUGGUGCAGCGCCGCGGCGGGGGUGAUGGUCGCCUGCGGGUAGUGAACUUCUAUCGGGGGAGAAGAUAGCUUGCAUUGUCUGUGGGUGGGUUGACGGUACCUGGACAAGAAGCGCCGGCUAACUACGUG
RNAcentral lists this ribosomal RNA (494 nucleotides) under uncultured bacterium. RNAcentral's name for it is "partial 16S ribosomal RNA". It matches the Rfam family "Bacterial small subunit ribosomal RNA", at positions 28 to 507 of the family's 1533-position model. The record is from RNAcentral.